Molecule: small nucleolar RNA, 139 nt
Organism: Oryza sativa Japonica Group (Japanese rice)
Lineage: Eukaryota; Viridiplantae; Streptophyta; Magnoliopsida; Poales; Poaceae
Rfam family: Small nucleolar RNA Z247
About the family: Z247 is a member of the C/D class of snoRNA which contain the C (UGAUGA) and D (CUGA) box motifs. Most of the members of the box C/D family function in directing site-specific 2'-O-methylation of substrate RNAs.
Source: Rfam
AAGCUCGACGACGACGACAUCGUCUCCGACAUCCUGGCUGGGCUCGAUGAUGAUUUUGACCCGGUUGUCUCUGCAGUCGCCCAACGUUCUGAGCCAAUCUCAGUCGGUGAGUUGUUUUCACAGCUUGUUACUUUUGAGC